This 253-nucleotide ribosomal RNA is filed under the name uncultured bacterium. RNAcentral describes it as "partial 16S ribosomal RNA". It matches the Rfam family "Bacterial small subunit ribosomal RNA", at positions 524 to 776 of the family's 1533-position model. The record is from RNAcentral.
UACGUAGGGUGCAAGCGUUAAUCGGAAUUACUGGGCGUAAAGCGUGCGCAGGCGGUUAUGUAAGACAGAUGUGAAAUGCCCGGGCUUAACCUGGGAACUGCAUUUGUGACUGCAUGGCUAGAGUUUGGCAGAGGGGGGUAGAAUUCCACGUGUAGCAGUGAAAUGCGUAGAUAUGUGGAGGAACACCGAUGGCGAAGGCGGUUCUCUGGGCAUGUCCUGACGCUGAGGAGCGAAAGUGUGGGGAGCGAACAGG